This is a long non-coding RNA of Thalassophryne amazonica, 174 nucleotides long. RefSeq lists it as uncharacterized. The record is from RefSeq and is a predicted model, not a curated record. NCBI's taxonomy places the organism in Eukaryota, Metazoa, Chordata, Actinopteri, Batrachoidiformes, Batrachoididae. The transcript is spliced from 2 exons.
UAAAAAAAGGCCGGCUGCAGAUUUCAGAGAUAGCUCCUACAUCCAGGACAAGGAGAACCUGUGCGUCUCUGUCAAAGCCAUCUCUGCUCUUUACCUGUCAAAGGUGGCACAUCAGGAGAAAGAAAGCAGCCUUUUCAAACUGGGACAAGCUCAAUCAUCUCACCCUGGAAAAAA